Molecule: ribosomal RNA, 305 nt
Filed under: uncultured bacterium
Lineage: Bacteria
Description: bacterial SSU rRNA
Rfam family: Bacterial small subunit ribosomal RNA
Source: RNAcentral
CGCGCCCUACGGGGCGCAGCAGUGAGGAAUAUUGGUCAAUGGGAGAGAUCCUGAACCAGCCAAGCCGCGUGAGGGAAGACGGCCCUAUGGGUUGUAAACCUCUUUUGUCGGAGAACAAAACCCGGGACGAGUCCCGGACUGCGUGUAUCCGAAGAAAAAGCAUCGGCUAACUCCGUGCCAGCAGCCGCGGUAAUACGGAGGAUGCGAGCGUUAUCCGGAUUUAUUGGGUUUAAAGGGUUCGUAGGCGGACAGUUAAGUCAGCGGUAAAAAUGCGGUGCUCAACGCCGUACAGCCGUUGAAACUGG